CAAGUCUUGACAUCCCAUUGACGAGAGGGCAAUGCCUCUUUCCCUUCGGGGCAAUGGAGACAGGUGGUGCAUGGUUGUCGUCAGCUCGUGUCGUGAGAUGUUGGGUUAAGUCCCGCAACGAGCGCAACCCCUGUGCUUAGUAGCCAGCAGUAAGAUGGGCACUCUAGGGAGACUGCCGGGGAUAACUCGGAGGAAGGUGGGGACGACGUCAAAUCAUCAUGCCCCUUAUGACUUGGGCUACACACGUGCUACAAUGGCGUAAACAAAGGGAAGCAGCCCUGUGAAGGUGAGCGAAUCCCAAAAAUAACGUCUCAGUUCGGAUUGUAGUCUGCAACUCGACUACAUGAAGCUGGAAUCGCUAGUAAUCGCGAAUCAGAAUGUCGCGGUGAAUACGUUCCGC
This 400-nucleotide ribosomal RNA is filed under the name uncultured bacterium. RNAcentral describes it as "bacterial SSU rRNA". It matches the Rfam family "Bacterial small subunit ribosomal RNA", at positions 975 to 1374 of the family's 1533-position model. The record is from RNAcentral.